UUCAAUUCUGAGGUUAGAUGGGUUAAUUCAAACUGAACUGAGUAUGUGUAUUGCUAUGCUCUGUUUUUGUUCAAUAUUUCUUCUUAUCCUGAUGCGAGCCUCCGGUCCUAGGUCAUGAAAGGGUCAUGCAAGGGUGCUAUAGUGCACAGAUCUUGAGAACAUGAGAUACUGUUUGUGAGUCUAAGUGGUGAGUGGCAAGACUCAAGAAAAUGAUUUAUUUGUGCCAGAGGAAGUACAUGACAUAUCUUUUAACCAAGCCUAAUAUACUUGGGUCCAGAUUUGUAGAAAAUGUAAGGACUUGGAUACCAAGACUCUAGCUGAUCAAGGUGAACUGUUUGGCAAUGCAUAAGAUUGGUAAUUCAACCAAACUACAUGAUGAUUAUUUGUCUCGAUGUCUCAUUAUUGGUUCGUGUUAUUGGCCAGAUUAUGCAAGUUUGUAGGAUAUCUCACAUGGAUGCAUUAAUAAGAAAUCUUAGAUGCCCAAGAAAUGCUGCUGAUCAAUAUGUAUGAAUAAAAUGGCCAAUUGGUGUCUAAGUGUUAUCUAAUGUCUACUAAAAAGCCAUUAACAGUCUAAGAUCAACCUCUGUUCAUUGUGCCUUUAACAUCAACAACUGGUUACUGUAUCUUUAAGAUCAACGACUUAUUUUGUACCUUUGUUGGAGAUAGCAUAUUAACCUUGAAGAUCAGGAAACAAAGUGCAGGUGCACGAUUUAGUGCAAAGUCUAAUGGUUGUUCAUUCUUGUAAAAUUGAAGCUUCUAGGUAAGGGUCAUUUAAAAGAGUACCAUGGCAGCUAGUCGCUUGGGGGUUGAAUCAACAGCCAAGUAUUCCUUGAACAUAAGAAACAUAUUACGUGGAUUGUCACUUUAUAUCAGACUUAGUUGAAAGUAAAGAAGUGGUUUUAGUUGAGAGUAAAGAAGUGGUUAUUAUUGUACUUUGGGUCAAAGAAUCAAUUGAAUGGCAUGUUACAAACAUGUUGGAAGAAAAACAGUUAUUUUGAGUGUUGUUCCAUGCUCAGAUGGCUUGGCAUCUACAUCUUGCAUGAGAGGGACUAUUGGAUAUUGCUGUUUUGUUAGUCAAAUUAAUAUGUCUUAUGCUUAUGCACUGUUCCCGAUUAUUUUCUACAUAACUGGGGCCUGAACUCAUGUUUUGGAUUCAUGAGGCAGCAUGAAUUCAUAUAUGUGGCUGAUAUCCAUGCUCUAAAAAGGUAUGCAUUUUGGAUGUUCGAUGAUUUGCGUCUGAUUCCUAAUUAUCUAAUUAAAGAAAAGUGGGGGUUCAGCCAGAUCGGGCAAUCCUGUAUUUUCUGUUAACUCCUCCCCUCCCCCCCCCCCAUCCUCCUCCUUUCCUUUAUUUUCCCUUUUUGUGCUUUUAGGCAUUGUUAUCCAUUCACCAUCGUGUUUGUAUUUAUUUUUCACUUACUAAUCAGAUCUGUUGUUUUAUUUGAUUGGUUAGAUCUAUUCUUCUUCUGUAGUAGAGUUAAUAUCAAAUAUAAAGACUUUAAGUCUCUGCUGGAGGUUCUUUAUGUACUCUGUGUGAAAAAAGAAAUGUGCAUCUUUGCUCAUCCAGUGUUUCUAGCUGUGCUUUAACUUAGCUCACGAAUUAGAUAUCUUCACCACUAUAACCACAUUAAGUGCAAGCCAAUUACUUUUUUCUUCUCUGAUCAACUCUAUAUUUCUAUUAAUUAUUUAAAUAACUAGAACUUAUGAACUAGGCAAAUUCAUUUGUCCUUUGUGCUCCAAAUGCAGACCACAUCC
This 1752-nucleotide long non-coding RNA is filed under the name Elaeis guineensis (African oil palm). RNAcentral describes it as "long non-coding RNA (EGUI_LNC016585)". The record is from RNAcentral. Lineage: Eukaryota; Viridiplantae; Streptophyta; Magnoliopsida; Arecales; Arecaceae.